GUAGGUGGCAAGCGUUGUCCGGAAUUAUUGGGCGUAAAGCGCGCGCAGGCGGUUUUUUAAGUCUGAUGUGAAAGCCCACGGCUCAACCGUGGAGGGUCAUUGGAAACUGGAGAACUUGAGUACAGAAGAGGAAAGCGGAAUUCCACGUGUAGCGGUGAAAUGCGUAGAGAUGUGGAGGAACACCAGUGGUGAAGGCGGCUUUCUGGUCUGUAACUGGCGCUGAGGCGCGAAAGCGUGGGGAGCAAACAGGGAUUAGAUACCCUGGUAGUCCACGCCGUAAACCGAUGAGUGCUAAGUGUUAGGGGGUUUCCCGCCCCUUAGUGCUGCAGCUAACGCAUUAAGCACUCCGCCUGGGGAGUACGGCCGCAAGGCUG
This 374-nucleotide ribosomal RNA is filed under the name uncultured organism. Its description in RNAcentral is "partial 16S ribosomal RNA". It matches the Rfam family "Bacterial small subunit ribosomal RNA", at positions 527 to 896 of the family's 1533-position model. The record is from RNAcentral.